UGGGGAAUAUUGCACAAUGGGCGCAAGCCUGAUGCAGCCAUGCCGCGUGUAUGAAGAAGGCCUUCGGGUUGUAAAGUACUUUCAGCGAGGAGGAAGGCGGUAAGGUUAAUAACCUUAUCGAUUGACGUUACUCGCAGAAGAAGCACCGGCUAACUCCGUGCCAGCAGCCGCGGUAAUACGGAGGGUGCAAGCGUUAAUCGGAAUUACUGGGCGUAAAGCGCACGCAGGCGGUCUGUCAAGUCGGAUGUGAAAUCCCCGGGCUCAACCUGGGAACUGCAUUCGAAACUGGCAGGCUAGAGUCUUGUAGAGGGGGGUAGAAUUCCAGGUGUAGCGGUGAAAUGCGUAGAGAUCUGGAGGAAUACCGGUGGCGAAGGCGGCCCCCUGGACAAAGACUGACGCUCAGGUGCGAAAGCGUGGGGAUCAAGCA
This 427-nucleotide ribosomal RNA is filed under the name uncultured bacterium. RNAcentral describes it as "partial 16S ribosomal RNA". It matches the Rfam family "Bacterial small subunit ribosomal RNA", at positions 355 to 774 of the family's 1533-position model. The record is from RNAcentral.